AUUGAACGCUGGCGGCAGGCCUAACACAUGCAAGUCGAGCGGAUGAAGGGAGCUUGCUCCUGGAUUCAGCGUCGGACGGGUGAGUAAUGCCUAGGAAUCUGCCUGGUAGUGGGGGAUAACGUCCGGAAACGGGCGCUAAUACCGCAUACGUCCUGAGGUAGAAAGUUGGGGAUCUUCGGACCUCACGCUAUCAGAUGAGCCUAGGUCGGAUUUGCUAGUUGGUUGGGUAAAUGCCUACCAAGGCGACGAUCCGUAACUGGUCUGAGAGGAUGAUCAGUCACACUGGAACUGAGACACGGUCCAGACUCCUACGGGAGGCAGCAGUGGGGAAUAUUGGACAAUGGGCGAAAGCCUGAUCCAGCCAUGCCGCGUGUGUGAAGAAGGUCUUCGGAUUGUAAAGCACUUUAAGUUGGGAGGAAGGGCAGUAAGUUAAUACCUUGCUGUUUUGACGUUACCAACAGAAUAAGCACCGGCUAACUUCGUG
RNAcentral lists this ribosomal RNA (484 nucleotides) under uncultured bacterium. RNAcentral describes it as "partial 16S ribosomal RNA". It matches the Rfam family "Bacterial small subunit ribosomal RNA", at positions 30 to 507 of the family's 1533-position model. The record is from RNAcentral.